UCGGCGGCGGCAGAGCUUACCGCGACUUCGAGCCAUGCAGCCGCCUAUUCGGAAGCCCUUCUCGCCCGAGCAGCGAACGCGGCCAGGACCGCGUCGUCAAUCGGCCGCCGGCAUUUGGAGCCGUCCUUUCGAUGCUGCCGGGCACGCCGGCGCGCGCCAGGGAAGAGCCGCCGGUGGCCGCCUCCUCGCCAGUGCUCGUGGCAGAGCGGGUCCGAGCCCCUUCCUGCUCGCUGCUGCCAGUGUUUCCCGGAGCUCGCGCAGCGGCGUCGACGCCAAUGUCGAAGAAGCCAACGGGUCACUUCCUGCGCCUGGAUCAUCGCCGAAAGCGUCCGAGGAAAUGGCUGCAGACUCGUCAUUGUUGCAGCACGUUUGCCUUCACCGAAUGACAAGCUCCUAAUGCCUUAUUGACGAACUGCGUCGCAGAACCCAGUUGGCAUGGUCGUUCAUUGUAGUACAUACUACUGUUCGGAAAAAAAUGGAAGGCCGCUGCAUUUCGGCGCGAGAGCAGAUAAUAUAGCGAGUUAUCUAUUUGAAUAGAAAUAGACGUAAAAUAUCCCCUGUGGUAGAUAUCGCAAUUCUGUCGCAUUUCAGGCGGACACAUACUUGCAAGACAGAUCGCAGAGUAAACAAACACUAAGUGAAGACUAUUUCACUGAUUAACUUUGUAAUUAUUCGUUUUAGUGUCACAACUGCGGAAUCGAUCCAAGCAAUAAUGAAUUCGUAUCUACAUAGCAGAAAUCAUGUUUUUAGCACCAGUUAAUGUCGAACUAUGCUACACACAUUUAUGCGGUGCACGUUGUUACGUGUGCAUAAAUUAAAAAUUCUCAGAAACUACAUGGUUAGCUACCUAGAUGCGUUACAAAAUUUAUACUGAGUUGCUCAAGACGACCUCGAAGAAUAUGCCGUAGAUGUCAUCCAUCCGCGAUGUAGUACUUUUCUUAGAAGUCUUCCAAGUACAAACAAACAAACAAACAGACAAACAAACGAACAAACUAACUAUAACUAACUAACAAGCAAGAAAGCAAGCAAACCAACAAAUUAAUGAAAAGAAACAAACUGACUCACCAACAAGCAAGCAAACAAAAACAAAAAUAUACAGAACGGGAAGGCUGCGUGCUCCAAGGGAAAUGGGGAUAAAUACGGCUUGCCUUAAUAAUGCCGUUUUUGCCAAAAGUGUCACUGAUUGAUAUCUGUAUCUGCGCCCGCCCCAUUCGUGUAAGUUUCGCUGCUAAGGCAUGUAUACAUAAUGGCAAAAUACCUUGGCCUGUCUGCGUUUGUUCUCGGCGGAAAUAUAACACAAUAGCUGCGGCGCCAGUCGGCUUGACACUUUGCGCUCUGUGGCUUCUCAUGCGUUCAGAAUUUAUUGCACGUGCAAGCACCCUGCACAACAACCAAAUAAAAUAAAUAAAGGUAUACUCGUAUCACUUGUUUUCUGCACAUGAGCCAAGUCAGUGGAACGAACGCAAUGUGGAAGUUCGAUUUGCAGCGAAGGGUUUAACCGUGCAGAGUAGUUCGCCUUAUAUUUGCAGUAUUCCACUCUUGGCUUAAGAGAGCGCAUGCGAGUAUGGCGAGGCUGCCUCGUAGCGUCCGCCUGAUAGAAAGUCGAAUCGAGACGGCAGUGGGUCUUCGUCGUCUCAUGUUAGAGCAGCCGAGUAUGCUCGGAGAAGAGAGUGACUGAAAAGUUGAAGGAACUCGCCAAAAAUAGCGACCCAUGUCAAAUGGCACACAGCUGACGGAAGCUGAAGAUAUGUCUUUGCGUAUCCGCGGGGCUGACAGGAGCGCUUGCCCGCGGAGAACGAGAGCGCGCAGAGCUUGCUUGUCGGAGAGUCACGAGAGAAUGAAACAAACCACUGCGAUGAAGUGAAAGGGCCAGCGACUGCGGCACACUUACUGUGCGACGAGUCCGCUCGAACCACUUGUUCAAAGGAGGCAAUAAUACUCACGCAACAAACAAAAGGCUGACCACUUGCUACAUAUACAUAUUUUUUAAUGCAUCUUUCCUUUGACCAGGUGAUUCGAUCGCCCUCUCACAAGUUGCAGAAGAUGUGUCGGCUCAGUAAGUCGUUUAGAACACAAAAAUAGCCGUUAUGAUCCCAGCGAUCUUCCGCAAAAAAGGGGUAAAGGUAGAUAUAUAUUGGCGUUCAAUUGGGUCCAAACGACAUAUCGGCGUCACUUGAUCACAGGCAUAUAUGGCGUACAAAGGUCGAAGAGACGCUUACGAUCAAAAUUCUUUGACUCCGCAGACGUUUUUUUUUUUUUUUUUUCUUCGCCCACUUGGCUCAAAUACUUCUUCUAUAGGCUUAUUCUAGCACAUAAGGUUGUCCAUCUCUAGCACAUAAGGUAGCUGUUGUUCUAUUUCGCUUGACAAUUAACUUCUUCCUUAGCUUAACAGGUGGAUCAUAGGCUGAGCAUCAGGGUUACCGCGACAUUGCGAUAAGGCCAUCACUUCAUCAAUAUCAUAACUGUUUACCGGACCUCUCCUAAUUAAAAAAAUCGUUUGCUCCUAUCCAGGCUUUUUCGAUUUUUUUCUUUACACGUCAUGACGCCAAGAGAAGUUCACGUGACGUCACAGAUGCAUAACCUGUUGAUUGGCCCGUACGCGAGGGACAACAGUUAAUAUCCGCCUAAUACCAUGCCUUCUCCAUGCAGCCACACGCCCACUUUUCCUCGUCGUCUCGCUUGCCUGUGGUGCAAAUCAACUGAUUUCAUCUCUCAUAGCGUGUUUUACACUGCGCCCGCGGCGACAACAGCGUCUAGCGAAAAAGCGCAGGAUCCUGACAAGCGGAAGUUUAUGGCGUUUUAUUACAAGGGCGCCGACGAGACGUUAGGUACUGACGUAGUGUCCACGUGUCUUCUAGAAAAAUACGUGAUGCGCUAGAGAGCGCCCGUAUAGGGACAGCAGCGAAGGCAAGAGAGAAACCGUUAUCUUGUGUUCUGGCUCCGGGUAGCUUAGGGGCUCUUUAAGAGGCGCCAUGCAACUCUAUUAGGUACCCCGUGUCUGGAUAAGGAUAGUGUGUUCCCUAGGCAAGCAGCGAAUCCUUCAGCCUCGCUGCACAGUUUUCUGUUAUCCUUUUUUCGCUGCUACUCGACUGCAGGUAAAAAAAGAUCGUCGAUCGCUAGGAAUGAUUGUGCCCAAUCAGUGCCCUGACUCAUCCAGCUUCACUAGUACUGAGAUGCCUGAAGAUUAUUACUUCAUAAUUCAAAUUAAGGAGGAAAACUUACGGCAACAUUUCACACAGUCGGCGUAUUCGCCAAUACAUAUAGCUUGCUUCUAUGCGUUUGUACAUAGCCUAUGUUCUCAUUUAAGCGUCUUAAGACAAUAUACUGUAUUUCGCUAGAAUAGCAGCUUGGGCUUGUUGGUUUUCCAUCCUGGUGUUAAAAGCGCAAAACGUAGAGGGGACACGAGACGAGAAGACGACACCACAAGCGCUUGUGGCAUGGUCUUCUCGCCUCGUGUCCCGUUUAGGUUUUGCGCUAUUAACACCAAGAAUAUACUGUAUGUACUGCACUGAAUUACGAGCAAAAAAGAUCAGUCAACUCAAUGCCUAUACAACUAGUCUGAAAGCAUUUCAUAGCAAAAAUGUCCCCCAACCAUCUAAGCUGCAUUGGUUGCACAUUUAUGAACCGAAGGUUGCCAGCAUUGAUCAGGAGUUCCACACUACGGCGUGCUCCAUAAUCAGAUCGUGGUUUUGGCACGUGCAUAGAACCCCAGAAUUUAACCUUCUAAGCAAUACCUAGUUGCUGUAUAUAAUAUAUAGCAUUUUAAUUUAACACGAAUAUUUCUUGCUAGCAAGUGGGUUAGUAGAAUAUAGCAAUAUAUAGUAAUGUACGUAUAAUCGAAUUGACAGCACCGUUUUACAAAUCCUGCACCAAAUUUUCAGUGACACCACAAGCUUGCCAUUGCAUGCUUGUUCGGCAGCGUACAAAACUUUAGCACUUGAUAGGCCUGCGAGUUUCAUAUACAUGAGGAAUUAAGAUACGCCUAGUUGAUUGAUUUAGCUUAUUACAUGACUACAUUUUCUUCUUUCUUUGUACUAAUUUGUAUUCCCAAGAGAGAAAUGUUUAAGUUGGGCAAGGACUGACGAAAAUUAAUCAUUUUACCAUUUUUUUUUUUCGAAAUUAGGACUUUCGUUAAUGUACUUUUACACCUUUUCUCCUGUUGACACUUCCGCUGACCAGAAAUCGUGGUUGAAUGAAACUUAGUUCGGGUAUUUUACGAGCCAAAACCCCGAUUUGAUUAUGAGACACGCCGUAAAGGGGGGCACCGGAUUAAACUUGACCACCAGAGGCCGGAUCUUUAACGUGCCCCCAAUGCAUGGGGCAUGGGCGUUUUUUGGCCCAUGCCCCAUGCAUUGGGCCAAAAUUUUGGCCCUCAUCGAAAUGUGGCCGCCGCGGCAUGGAUUUGAUCCCGCGACCACGUGCAUAGCAGCGCAACACCAUAGCCGCUACGCCACUGCAGCGGGUAGAAAUCUUGGUGUUCAUUAGCUUCUUGUCGACGUAGUUGUCACCCGAAGAACUUGUUGUCCCAGUUGGCACUUGCUGUGAGUCAUAACUGCCGCUAAGAAAAUGAACAAACCAUAGACACGAAACAAAAUAAGCACAAUCAAUCAAUCAAUCAAUCAAUAAAGAAAGCAAUUAAUUAAGUAAGUAAUUAAUACCAUUUCAUUGCUUCAUUAAUUGCUUCACUGAUUAAUUGAUCGAUUGAUUGCUUAAUCAAUCAAUCAAUCAAUCAAUGCCUCCCAGCUCGUCGUGAUUGUCUUCUAUAGUGCCUGUCGGUUUCGUGCAUCCAUUUAGCGGCAGUUAGGUCUCACAGUACUUCUCGUCGCUUAUCAUUAUACUGCAAAGCCACCUAAAGUUACAUAUGUGUUCCAAUAAAGAAUGAAAUCUUA
This is a long non-coding RNA of Dermacentor andersoni, 4889 nucleotides long. RefSeq lists it as uncharacterized. The record is from RefSeq and is a predicted model, not a curated record. Lineage: Eukaryota; Metazoa; Arthropoda; Arachnida; Ixodida; Ixodidae.